GAUGAACGCUGGCGGCGUGCCUAAUACAUGCAAGUCGAGCGAACAGACGAGGAGCUUGCUCCUCUGACGUUAGCGGCGGACGGGUGAGUAACACGUGGAUAACCUACCUAUAAGACUGGGAUAACUUCGGGAAACCGGAGCUAAUACCGGAUAAUAUAUUGAACCGCAUGGUUCAAUAGUGAAUGACGGUUUUGCUGUCACUUAUAGAUGGAUCCGCGCCGCAUUAGCUAGUUGGUAAGGUAACGGCUUACCAAGGCGACGAUGCGUAGCCGACCUGAGAGGGUGAUCGGCCACACUGGAACGGAGACACGGUCCAGACUCCUACGGGAGGCAGCAGUAGGGAAUCUUCCGCAAUGGGCGAAAGCCUGACGGAGCAACGCCGCGUGAGUGAUGAAGGUCUUCGGAUCGUAAAACUCUGUUAUUAGGGAAGAACAAAUGUGUAAGUAACUAUGCACGUCUUGACGGUACCUAAUCAGAAAGCCACGGCUAACUACGUG
RNAcentral lists this ribosomal RNA (497 nucleotides) under uncultured bacterium. RNAcentral's name for it is "partial 16S ribosomal RNA". It matches the Rfam family "Bacterial small subunit ribosomal RNA", at positions 28 to 507 of the family's 1533-position model. The record is from RNAcentral.